AGGAAUCCUAACCUUAUUUCGAGUUCUAAGAGUCAUUGGUCGUCUUUGCGAUUUUAUUUGAAGAUUUAUCCAUCUACGCCUCUCGGUGAUUAAGCUUUCAGCCAUGAAAAUCAUUCAAACUUUUUCUUUACAACGUAAAGACGUUUUCAAGAUAUUGUCAAGUCCUCAAACAUCAUCAAAUUAGAGGAUUGUUUUCGUCCACAAAAACAACAUAAAGAGAAUUGUACAUAUUAUUUAAUUUAACAAGAAUUGAAUUCUUCUACUCCAAGUUUUCAAGACAAGAAAAAUAUAGGUGUACAAAUUGAAACAUACUUGAUUUUGAUGUCAACUAUGUGGUGUGGAUUAAGUCAAUUGAGGAUAAGUUUAUGUGCAUAGAGAAUGAUUUGUAAAUAUAUUGUGUGUAUUUGAGGACUUAUAAUGAUAUGAUAAAUAUGUUAAGUGUAUGAAGCCUAUACUAUGCCAUUUUAGGCACAUUUUAUGGAAGC
RNAcentral lists this long non-coding RNA (485 nucleotides) under Theobroma cacao (cacao). RNAcentral's name for it is "long non-coding RNA (TCAC_LNC004658)". Lineage: Eukaryota; Viridiplantae; Streptophyta; Magnoliopsida; Malvales; Malvaceae. The record is from RNAcentral.